Molecule: long non-coding RNA, 962 nt
Organism: Pteropus alecto (black flying fox)
Lineage: Eukaryota; Metazoa; Chordata; Mammalia; Chiroptera; Pteropodidae
Exons: 3
Source: RefSeq, a predicted model, not a curated record
ACCACCCAAUCCUCGAAGGCUUUCUUAUACUAAAGCGUUCAUUGGUGAUCUAGGGAAAUGCACUAAGUGUUGAACGAAAGGCUCCAAUGAAAACCCAGGAAUUCUGAAUUGGACCAAACGCCUAUCCGUCCACUAAGCAAAGAAACUCCAUUCCAGCAGAGAAAUCGUCGGACUUUCCCGACUACAACUCCCAGCGUUCCAUGUUAGGAAGAACUCCGUUCCUGCAUUCAGAAAUUCAAGUUGAACGUUUUUUUCUCUAGCAACUCUUUCAGCUCUCAUAAAGGAGUUGCAUAAUAUUUCAUUCGUUUCUGUGAGACUUAAUUCAUAAUCUUUUAAAAAAGUUUGAGUUUUUCUAAGAACAUUAGCACUAUAUUAGGCAUUUCUUGGAUUUCAUUCAUUUCUUUCUCAUGUCCACUGUCUUCCUAGCAACGCAAAGUCAGCAAAGUAGUUUUUUGUUUAAAUGGUAACUUCCACUUUGGAACGAUUUUUUUCAUUUUAAUUCUGCCAUGAAGCUCAUAUACAAAAGUCAGAGGAAAUUCGAGAGCCCUCUAAUGGAGAAAGAGCGUGGGUGAGAAUAAAUCUCCCGGACUGAUUCCAUGCUAACAUCUCCAAUACUUUGAUUCGUCUAUUAUAUAUAUGUAUAUGUGUAUACACAUAUACAUAUAUAUAAAUUCUAUAGAUACCCUCUGAUAACCAUCUGAAGGAUACAGAAAAGAAUUUUUACAUAUCCAGAGUGCCCAACAUCCAUUAUCCAGACCUCCGGACAUCUGGAAGAUUAUCAUCUUGGACUAAACCAGAGGCUAAGAAUGCAGUACUGAUUCUUCUCAAGAAUGUACUUUUUACUAUAAGAACUCUCAAUUUUUGUUUCUUCUUUUUCUUCAAAACACUCUGAAUAUUGCCUAGUUACAUUUAUGAUUUGCAAAUCCUAAGACCCUUGAAUAAAUCUUUAUUAUUUAUUUCUA